Long non-coding RNA from Ochotona curzoniae (black-lipped pika), 652 nucleotides. RefSeq lists it as uncharacterized. The record is from RefSeq and is a predicted model, not a curated record. The transcript has 4 exons. Lineage: Eukaryota; Metazoa; Chordata; Mammalia; Lagomorpha; Ochotonidae.
GUGCUGACUUGGGGAACAACAGUCAAGGAAGCAAGACCAGCAAGUGCGAAGAGCCUCAGCCCUGACUGACUGAGAUGCACUCCUCAUGUUUACAGCCUGGAGAAACUAACUCUUGCAUGUAUGUACCAACAGGGCUUGGUCCCAGGAUGUUCCUUCCAUAGCCCCAAAAUGUUCAACCAUCGGUGUUUCAAAGGGGAUCACUAACUCCAGGAAGCAAAAUUAGGAGUCCGGGAUUUCACAGCAAGGUGACAUUAUUUGAGGGGCAGGAGGGGAGGGCGGGGAGCAGGUUUCUUGCCUCUCACCCAGCCUGGUGAAAAUCUCGCUCGGAACAAUCCGUCUUCUGUGAAGCACUCCCUACAGAAAGUUGUGGAAAUAAAUCUCUCCUCUCACCACUGGGGCUGGAGUCAAACCGAGCAGAGCACAGAGGAUUUGGGAGGAUUGACACUCACAGGAAGAAGGGAAAGUGGCUUGAAAGCCCGAUGGGUCGAGGGAGGUGCCCUGAACACAACUCCAUGUGGUGUCUGCCCGGUAGCACCCAAGUGUGUGAGCGCAGGCGCAAAGGGUUACGGAGGCACCCUGAAUAACUCUCCUGCUCUUGCCUCUCCUAGAACCGUGAAAUGGACACGGGGCUCUGCUUGUCUUAAGGUCCUGG